AACAAACACUGUUCAUUUGGUCAUUUUCCAGAGGCUGCAUAUUGAUCACCCAGAUUAGGUCAAUUUUUAGAGCUACUUAGGUUGGUUUUCUAGGACAGUUUCCUUCAUCAAAGUUGUUUCAUUUUGUGUCUAGUCUAACCUCCAAUUGGUCUUAUACCAAUUGGAGUUACCUAGCUUGAGUUAUAACCUUAAGAGCACACUGGACUCAAGUCCAAUAUUCUGGUACCUUGAGAGGCAACAUACCAAUACACUUUUUAUACCACAACUCACUCCAAUUUAAAUUCAAUUCACCAU
Molecule: unclassified non-coding RNA, 294 nt
Filed under: Hevea brasiliensis (rubber tree)
Lineage: Eukaryota; Viridiplantae; Streptophyta; Magnoliopsida; Malpighiales; Euphorbiaceae
Source: RNAcentral